This 1208-nucleotide long non-coding RNA is filed under the name Phasianus colchicus (ring-necked pheasant). RNAcentral's name for it is "lncRNA (ENSPCLG00000018747.1)". Lineage: Eukaryota; Metazoa; Chordata; Aves; Galliformes; Phasianidae. The record is from RNAcentral.
GACGAAAAGCAGCAGAACUCUAGGCGCGAUACAAUCUGCUCGCCAACCCCUCCCCUAAUGACUAACUGCCAGGCUCGAGCCCGCUCCGUUUGAAUCUAUCGGCUCUAUUUCCUAUUGGUCUGCUGGCACAGCCAAUGACGUCCCUCAGGCGCUUCUCGUGUCCCGCCCUCUCGCCGACCCACCAAUCAUUGGAAGACGCAGAGUAGAGUGCGGACAGCUGGGAGAGAGGAAAGGCGGGGCCCGGGCCGGGGCGCGCCGCCGGAGCAGCGCAGUGAUUGGCCGAUAUCUUCUGGGACAGUCUGGUCCUGUGUGAAGCCCCUUUCUAUAUCAGAUUUUCUUGGACUGCGGAGUUUCCACUUCUUUUUUAUUUGUUUGCUUGGUUGGUUUGUUUUCAUAUAGUGUCUUUUGUGAUCAUAUUAUGUUCCAUGCCACAUGCCAUUGAAAUAUGAAUAGUGAAGAUGAUAGUAGGAGUGUUCCAGUUUUGUUUUUAAGAUGAGGCCUUUCAUAAUGUUUUAUACAGAGCUUUAAAUCUAGAUGCUCAAGAGUAGAUGAGGUUAUAGAGCAAACAGCUGCACUGCUGCUGCUGGAGAGAGACGGGGGGGAACAGUAGCUGCUAUAUGGAGGUAAAAGGGAACAAAAGUGAACUUUAUUCAAGGAAGCAAAAAAGAUAAGAAUGCAGAGAUUCUAAUGUGCUGAGUUUAAAACAAACAUUCAAAAGCAAAUGAGAAAGACUCUUGUAAUCUUGCACUGUUUGUACACUGUUGCUAAUUAACAGGCUUUGCUGGUCUUAACUGGCUCUUCAAUAAUAUUGUAAGCAAGAGAAAUAUGUGUUUGCUUCUGAUCCUUCUCUUGAAUGUUCCGUAAUGGAAGUUAUAUCCCACUGAGUACUGAAUAGCAAAGUAUUUAAUGGCACAACUGAAAUACUGCUCCAUUUUAUACUUGAAUGAAAUGCAUUUAUAUUCAUUAAUUUAUGUAUUUUUUCAUCUGCAAAUCUUUUCACAGUGGAGAUAAGGAAAUAUGGUACCUUUUCUGAAAUGUUUAUAAUGUGUUACCUGUAUCUAUCAGCAAUCCCAGUAAAUCAGUAAAUCCCAGUCAAUAUAGUGGAGCCUAGAAUAGGGUUAUAGAAAAGUUUCCUAUAAGAUUUAUUGCAAAAUUCUCUCUUAGAUUCUUAAGAAAAAUAAAGUAAUAUGUUUGCUUGUUUGUUUUCA